Non-coding RNA from Rattus norvegicus (Norway rat), 1651 nucleotides. The record is from RefSeq and is a predicted model, not a curated record. Lineage: Eukaryota; Metazoa; Chordata; Mammalia; Rodentia; Muridae.
UCUUCUGGUAAGAUUUUAAAAGAUGUUUUGCCAAUGCAUUUAUGAGAGAUAUGGGUGUGUCAUCUUGUGUUAGAGGUCAUUUUAUCCAGUUUUGGAUAAAUACUGGCCUCCUGGAAGGUGGAAAGCCAUUUUCCCAUGGAUGAUACUUGAAAGAAGUUUAAUAACUCACCCAAUGCACACAGGCAACACCCCUGUGUAUCAAUAGGUCAGGUGUCCACGAGGCAGAUUUGGACAGAGUCAGUUACCGUAAGGACAGUCUGUAGGAGUUCCCCACUGUCUUCCAAUCAACACAUGUUUACUACACCUUUAUGUGCUGCUGCUGCUUCGGGCUGGAGGAUGAGCUUCCCUGCUCUUUGCUUGAGAGUGAAGGUAAAUCCCAACCUGAAGUUGAAAUGGUUCAGAUUUCAUGAGAAUUCCCGCAGUUGCCUGGGGCCUUGGAGCUGAUUUGCUCUAUUCCCGAGAAGUAAAGAGACUGGAUGAGUGUCUGCUCAGAAGAGGCUCUGCUCCUGGCCUCUGCUUUCGCCGAUGCCAUAGAUCAGAUUUAUUGGACUUGCUGAAUCAAGUUGAUUCAGUUUCAGAAUGCGUUUUCUGGACAUUACCAGUUAAUGGCGCAUGACCAGGAUGUCUUUAUGAUCUCCAGCUUACACAGAACCCAAAAUAAUUAGGCAUCAGUAGACUUUUGACUUAUAGAAAAUAUAUGUCACUAGCACUUUUAUACUUCUAUUACUAAAAUUAAAUUUUAAUUCACUGCGGAACUUGUGGGAACAAUCUUCUUAGAAUGAACAUAUGAUAGGAAGUACUACUUGAACCUAAAGUAAACCUGAUGUACUCUGUACUACCCACCAGCUCUGUCUGGUCCUCUCCAUCCCUCCCAAGAUGUUGGUAGAGUAAUAUGGUUUUGCAGGUUUUAUUUUGGGGCACUGAGGUACUUUUCUGUCUUGCUAUAGCUCCAUAGUAUUUUGAGUUUUUAAAAUACUACAGGUAUCCACAAUUCUUUCCUUUUUUCCUUCCUUCUUUGUUCAUUGAAAUAGCUCUCAAGUGUAGUGGAGAAUAACCUUGAACUUCUGACUUACCCUCUGCUCCCUGGCAUUACAAACAGGCACCACCAGAGCAUCCGUGUAUCCACAACCUGCCUCCAGACACUUGUGUAGUCAAGGAUGGAUUUGAAUUUUCAUCCUCCUGCCGAUAGCUCCAGAGGCCUAGGAUUACAGGUGUGUGCCACCCGGGGCAGAGUGGAGGACGUUAUGCACACAGUGAGCGCACUCUGCUUAUUGAACCACAUCUAUUUACCACAUUUAUUUACCCAAAAAUAGAAACUGCACCUUGGCGAUCUGUGCAUGGCUGUUCAUCCCACCAUUUAAUUCUCAUCCUUCCACUACUAAGGUUUUGUGUCCCAGUAAACACUUACUGCAAUUUUUUGGUUGUCAGAUUUGUCACCAUGAAAUUGUUCAAAAAGGUUGUUCUGGGGCUAGAGAGAUGGCUCAGCGGUUAAGAGCACCCGACUGCUCGUCCAGAGGUCCUGAGUUCAAUUCCCAGCAACCAUAUGGUGGCUCACAACCAUCUGUAAAGAGAUCCAAUGCCCUCUUCUGGUGUGUCUGAACAUAGCUACAGUGUACUCAUAUAUAAUAAAUGAAUAAAUCUUUAAAAAAAA